RNAcentral lists this ribosomal RNA (881 nucleotides) under uncultured bacterium. Its description in RNAcentral is "bacterial SSU rRNA". It matches the Rfam family "Bacterial small subunit ribosomal RNA", at positions 8 to 885 of the family's 1533-position model. The record is from RNAcentral.
AGAGUUUGAUCCUGGCUCAGGAUGAACGCUGGCGGCGUGCCUAACACAUGCAAGUCGAACGAAGCUUGACGGAUGAUUUCUUCGGAAUGAAACCUGAUAUGACUUAGUGGCGGACGGGUGAGUAACACGUGAGCAACCUGCCUUUCAGAGGGGGAUAACGGCUGGAAACGGUCGCUAAUACCGCAUGAUGUGUUCGGAUGGCAUCAUCUGAACAUCAAAGAUUUAUCGCUGAAAGAUGGGCUCGCGUCUGAUUAGAUAGUUGGUGGGGUAACGGCCUACCAAGUCUACGAUCAGUAGCCGGACUGAGAGGUUGAACGGCCACAUUGGGACUGAGAUACGGCCCAGACUCCUACGGGAGGCAGCAGUGGGGAAUAUUGCACAAUGGGGGAAACCCUGAUGCAGCAACGCCGCGUGAAGGAUGACGGUUUUCGGAUUGUAAACUUCUUUUCUUAGUGACGAAGACAGUGACGGUAGCUAAGGAAUAAGCAUCGGCUAACUACGUGCCAGCAGCCGCGGUAAUACGUAGGAUGCAAGCGUUAUCCGGAUUUACUGGGUGUAAAGGGAGCGCAGGCGGGACUGCAAGUUGGAUGUGAAAUACCGUGGCUUAACCACGGAACUGCAUCCAAAACUGUAGUUCUUGAGUGAAGUAGAGGCAAGCGGAAUUCCGAGUGUAGCGGUGAAAUGCGUAGAUAUUCGGAGGAACACCAGUGGCGAAGGCGGCUUGCUGGGCUUUAACUGACGCUGAGGCUCGAAAGUGUGGGGAGCAAACAGGAUUAGAUACCCUGGUAGUCCACACUGUAAACGAUGAUAGCUAGGUGUGGGGGGUCUGACCCCUUCCGUGCCGGAGUUAACGCAAUAAGCUAUCCACCUGGGGAGUACGA